GACGAACGCUGGCGGCGGGCUUAACACAUGCAAGUCGAACGGAAAGGCCCUGCUUUUGUGGGGUGCUCGAGUGGCGAACGGGUGAGUAACACGUGAGUAACCUGCCCUUGACUUGGGGAUAACUUCAGGAAACUGGGGCUAAUACCGGAUAGGAGCUCCUGCUGCAUGGUGGGGGUUGGAAAGUUUCGGCGGUUGGGGAUGGACUCGCGGCUUAUCAGCUUGUUGGUGGGGUAGUGGCUUACCAAGGCUUUGACGGGUAGCCGGCCUGAGAGGGUGACCGGCCACAUUGGGACUGAGAUACGGCCCAGACUCCUACGGGAGGCAGCAGUGGGGAAUAUUGCACAAUGGGCGGAAGCCUGAUGCAGCAACGCCGCGUGCGGGAUGACGGCCUUCGGGUUGUAAACCGCUUUCGCCUGUGACGAAGCGUGAGUGACGGUAAUGGGUAAAGAAGCACCGGCUAACUACGUG
This 468-nucleotide ribosomal RNA is filed under the name uncultured bacterium. RNAcentral's name for it is "partial 16S ribosomal RNA". It matches the Rfam family "Bacterial small subunit ribosomal RNA", at positions 28 to 507 of the family's 1533-position model. The record is from RNAcentral.